UGCAAGUCGAGCGGUAGAGAGAAGCUUGCUUCUCUUGAGAGCGGCGGACGGGUGAGUAAUGCCUAGGAAUCUGCCUGGUAGUGGGGGAUAACGUUCGGAAACGGACGCUAAUACCGCAUACGUCCUACGGGAGAAAGCAGGGGACCUUCGGGCCUUGCGCUAUCAGAUGAGCCUAGGUCGGAUUAGCUAGUUGGUGGGGUAAUGGCUCACCAAGGCGACGAUCCGUAACUGGUCUGAGAGGAUGAUCAGUCACACUGGAACUGAGACACGGUCCAGACUCCUACGGGAGGCAGCAGUGGGGAAUAUUGGACAAUGGGCGAAAGCCUGAUCCAGCCAUGCCGCGUGUGUGAAGAAGGUCUUCGGAUUGUAAAGCACUUUAAGUUGGGAGGAAGGGCAGUAAAUUAAUACUUUGCUGUUUUGACGUUACCGACAGAAUAAGCACCGGCUAACUCUGUGCCAGCAGCCGCGGUAAUACAGAGGGUGCAAGCGUUAAUCGGAAUUACUGGGCGUAAAGCGCGCGUAGGUGGUUAGUUAAGUUGGAUGUGAAAUCCCCGGGCUCAACCUGGGAACUGCAUUCAAAACUGACUGACUAGAGUAU
Molecule: ribosomal RNA, 598 nt
Filed under: uncultured bacterium
Lineage: Bacteria
Description: bacterial SSU rRNA
Rfam family: Bacterial small subunit ribosomal RNA
Source: RNAcentral